This 520-nucleotide unclassified non-coding RNA is filed under the name uncultured Paraglomus. RNAcentral's name for it is "SSU rRNA". It matches the Rfam family "Eukaryotic small subunit ribosomal RNA", at positions 569 to 1089 of the family's 1831-position model. RNAcentral also lists the same sequence under 1 other name. The record is from RNAcentral. Lineage: Eukaryota; Fungi; Glomeromycota; Glomeromycetes; Paraglomerales; Paraglomeraceae.
AGCAGCCGCGGUAAUUCCAGCUCCAAUAGCGUAUAUUAAAGUUGUUGCAGUUAGAAAGCUCGUAGUUGAACUUCGGGGUUUACUCAUUGGUCAGGCUUAAUUGUCUGUACUGGUGAGAUAAAUCUCUACCUUCUGAGGAACUUUCAUGCCAUUUAUUUGGUGUGAUUGGAAAUCAGGACUGUUACUUUGAAAAAUUAGAGUGUUUAAAGCAGGCUAACGUCUGAAUACAUUAGCAUGGAAUAAUGAAAUAGGACGGAUUGAUUCUAUUUCGUUGGUUUCUAGGGUCACCGUAAUGAUUAAUAGGGAUAGUUGGGGGCAUUAGUAUUCAAUUGUCAGAGGUGAAAUUCUUGGAUUUAUUGAAGACUAACUACCGCGAAAGCAUUUGCCAAGGAUGUUUUCGUUAAUCAAGAACGAAAGUUAGGGGAUCGAAGACGAUCAGAUACCGUCGUAGUCUUAACCAUAAACUAUGCCGACUAGGGAUCGGACGCAGUUAAUUUUAUAAUGACGUGUUCGGCACCUU